Molecule: ribosomal RNA, 348 nt
Filed under: Triticum aestivum (bread wheat)
Lineage: Eukaryota; Viridiplantae; Streptophyta; Magnoliopsida; Poales; Poaceae
Description: partial small subunit ribosomal RNA
Source: RNAcentral
GCCACUGAGAUCCUCACGGUGCUCGAGGGAACAUUGUACGUUGGCUUUGUCACAUCCAACCUGCCCGCCCCAGCCAGAAACAAGUUCUUCUCAAAGGUGCUCAACAAAGGUGAUGUGUUUGUCUUCCCCGUGGGGCUCAUCCACUUCCAAUUCAACCCUAACCCCCACCAGCCCGCCGUUGCAAUUGCCGCGCUCAGCAGCCAGAACCCAGGGGCUAUCACAAUUGCCAAUGCGGUGUUUGGGUCAGACCCACCAAUAUCAGAUGAUGUUCUUGCCAAGGCGUUUCAGGUGGAAAAGAAUACGAUAGACUGGCUCCAGGCUCAGUUCUGGGAGAACAACCACAACUAA